Molecule: ribosomal RNA, 1443 nt
Filed under: uncultured organism
Description: bacterial SSU rRNA
Rfam family: Bacterial small subunit ribosomal RNA
Source: RNAcentral
GCGGCAGGCUUAACACAUGCAAGUCGAGGGGUAAGGUCCCGCUUGCGGGAUACACGACCGGCGCACGGGUGCGUAACGCGUAUGCAACCUGCCUCUGACCGGAGGAUAGCCUCGAGAAAUCGGGAUUAAUACUCCAUAACAUCUAACUACCGCAUGGUAGAGUGAUUAAAACUCCGGUGGUCAGAGAUGGGCAUGCGUGGCAUUAGCUAGUUGGUGAGGUAACGGCUCACCAAUGCAACGAUGCCUAGGGGGUCUGAGAGGACGAUCCCCCACACUGGUACUGAGACACGGACCAGACUCCUACGGGAGUGCAGCAGUGAGGAAUAUUGGUCAAUGGGCGCAAGCCUGAACCAGCCAUGCCGCGUGCAGGAUGACGGCUCUAGAAGUUGUAAACUGCUUUUGUAUGGGAAUAAACUGUCCGGCUCUCCGGGCAUUGAAGGUACCAUACGAAUAAGGAUCGGCUAACUCCGUGCCAGCAGCCGCGGUAAUACGGAGGAUCCAAGCGUUAUCCGGAUUUAUUGGGUUUAAAGGGUGUGCAGGCGGAGUAAUAAGUCAGUGGUGAAAUCUUGCGGCUCAACCGUAAAAUUGCCAUUGAUACUGUUAUUCUUGAGUUCAGUUGAGGUGGGCGGAAUGAGUAAUGUAGCGGUGAAAUGCUUAGAUAUUACUCAGAACACCGAUUGCGUAGGCAGCUCGCUAAACUGUAACUGACGCUGAGGCACGAAAGCGUGGGGAGCGAACAGGAUUAGAUACCCUGGUAGUCCACGCCGUAAACUAUGAAUACUGGAUGUGUGCGAUACACUGUACGCGUCUGAGCGAAAGCAUUAAGUAUUCCACCUGGGGAGUACGUCCGCAAGGAUGAAACUCAAAGGAAUUGACGGGGGCCCGCACAAGCGGAGGAACAUGUGGUUUAAUUCGAUGAUACGCGAGGAACCUUACCUGGGCUUAAAUGCAGUAUGACCGUUCUCGAAAGAGAUCUUCCCUUCGGGGCAAAUUGCAAGGUGCUGCAUGGUUGUCGUCAGCUCGUGCCGUGAGGUGUCGGGUUAAGUCCCAUAACGAGCGCAACCCCUACCGUUAGUUGCCAGCGAGUAAUGUCGGGGACUCUAGCGGAACUGCCGGUGUAAACCGCGAGGAAGGUGGGGAUGACGUCAAAUCAGCACGGCCCUUAUGUCCAGGGCUACACACGUGUUACAAUGGUCGGUACAGUGGGCAGCUACCCAGCGAUGGGAUGCUAAUCUCCAAAACCGAUCCCAGUUCGGAUUGAAGUCUGCAACUCGACUUCAUGAAGGUGGAUUCGCUAGUAAUCGCAUAUCAGCAACGAUGCGGUGAAUACGUUCCCGGGCAUUGUACACACCGCCCGUCAAGCCAUGGAAGCUUGGGGUACAUGAAGUCCGUAACCGCAAGGAGCGGCACUAGGGUAAAACAAGUAACUGGGGCUAAGUCGUA